ACGGGAGGCAGCAGUGAGGAAUAUUGGUCAAUGGGCGAGAGCCUGAACCAGCCAAGUCGCGUGAGGGAAGACGGCCCUAUGGGUUGUAAACCUCUUUUGUGCGGGAAUAAAGUUCCCCGUGCGUGGGGUUUUGCAAGUACCGCAGGAAUAAGGAUCGGCUAACUCCGUGCCAGCAGCCGCGGUAAUACGGAGGAUCCGAGUGUUAUCCGGAUUUAUUGGGUUUAAAGGGUGCGUAGGCGGGUGAUCAAGUCAGUGGUGAAAUGGUGCGGCUCAACCGUAGCAUUGCCGUUGAAACUGGUUAUCUUGAGUGCGAAUGAGGUGGGCGGAAUGUGUCAUGUAGCGGUGAAAUGCAUAGAUAUGACACAGAACACCGAUUGCGGAGGCAGCUCACUGGGACGCGACUGACGCUGAGGCACGAAAGUGCGGGGAUCGAACAGGAUUAGAUACCCUGGUA
RNAcentral lists this ribosomal RNA (454 nucleotides) under uncultured Paludibacter sp. RNAcentral's name for it is "partial 16S ribosomal RNA". It matches the Rfam family "Bacterial small subunit ribosomal RNA", at positions 341 to 792 of the family's 1533-position model. The record is from RNAcentral. Lineage: Bacteria; Pseudomonadati; Bacteroidota; Bacteroidia; Bacteroidales; Paludibacteraceae.